UUUAUGGGAAUGCAAGCUGACAGUAAUCAAGCUGUUCCUGAUGGAAGAUACAUCUCAAAUAAGCAAAGUGCUCAUGGUAUAAAAUUAUUGAUAUGAACUGUAAAUGAAAACAAAGCUACUUGGUCCGUUAAAAUGUUCUCUUUCAUGCUGAUUUAUUGCAGAAAAAUAAUAAAUUGCAGCCUCUUCUUUUUCCUCUGACAUAUUUGGGAUACUUUACAUGACUUUGAAAUGGCUUAAUUAUUUUACUACCCACUGUAGAAUAUUCUAAGGAGGGGAAGAAAAACAUGUAUUUACUUUCCUGUGGCCAUUUCUUACUGUCUGAUCCAGUGCUUGGGAAUACCAAAGAUAUUGUUUAAUGGGAAAGAAAAAAAUAAAUCAAAGGUAUCAAAAAUUAUAUUAGAAGUUACUUGAUAAGCGGUAAUCAAUCCAUUCACCACGUGGUCUGUAGUAUAAAGACACUGCAAGUUCUCUGAUACCCACAUCUGCUAAUCAAGUUACCAGUAAAGGGGCUGUAGAUAAGGAUGCUCCUGAAAUUGACCAUAAGUUCUAGUUACUAUUUAAAAAGCACUAGAAAGAUGUAGUCUUUUCCACCACAUUCACACAAAGAAGUUUCUUUAUACCCUCACUAUUUCUUUCUUGGGAUAACCUCUUUUGUUCUAUCAGAUUGUACAGAUUGAAUUUGCUGUGAAAUUAUGUUUUCUGCUAGCUAUGAAAGAACAAGAAUUUCAGUAUACCACUGACAAAGCCAUCAUAUUCUUUUAUUUAUUAUGUAUAAAGCAUCUAUUAUGAUUUAGACACUUACAAAAGCUAGCAUUUAUUAAAACAUUUCAUAUAUUUAAAUAUGUUUGGUUUCAAAGAUAAACUAUAUUAUAUCUUGUUUGUUUGAAUAAAAUGUUUGUCUCACUUUUCAGCACACCAGAUGCAUUUCCUUGUUUGACUUAAACAAAAACGGUCAUGGGUUUGAUUUUAUAUGGAGUUAAACAUUUAGUAAAAUAGCUGUUUUAUAUGAAACGCUGAACACAAAUAUCUGCAAACAAAUGUGAAUUUGGUAUUACCAAUGAAGAAUAUACCCUAAGU
Molecule: long non-coding RNA, 1077 nt
Filed under: Macaca mulatta (Rhesus monkey)
Lineage: Eukaryota; Metazoa; Chordata; Mammalia; Primates; Cercopithecidae
Description: lncRNA (ENSMMUG00000061786.1)
Source: RNAcentral